UGGGGAAUAUUGCACAAUGGGCGAAAGCCUGAUGCAGCAACGCCACGUGAGUGAUGAAGGUCUUCGGAUUGUAAAGCUCUGUCUUUUGGGACGAUAAUGACGGUACCAAAGGAGGAAGCCACGGCUAACUACGUGCCAGCAGCCGCGGUAAUAUGUAGGUGGCGAGCGUUGUCCGGAUUUACUGGGCGUAAAGGGUGCGUAGGCGGAUGUUUAAGUGAGAUGU
RNAcentral lists this ribosomal RNA (223 nucleotides) under uncultured bacterium. Its description in RNAcentral is "partial 16S ribosomal RNA". It matches the Rfam family "Bacterial small subunit ribosomal RNA", at positions 355 to 595 of the family's 1533-position model. The record is from RNAcentral.